RNAcentral lists this ribosomal RNA (468 nucleotides) under Triticum aestivum (bread wheat). RNAcentral's name for it is "partial small subunit ribosomal RNA". The record is from RNAcentral. Lineage: Eukaryota; Viridiplantae; Streptophyta; Magnoliopsida; Poales; Poaceae.
AUGGCACACACGAAUACACACCACACACGGCCAUGCAUCUGGACAGCCGCAGUAGUAAGCGGCCGCAGCAGAGCAGCUGGGAGCGGCCAUGAGCGGCUAGACAAACAGCAGGAGAGCAAGAGCAGCAAGCAGUGGCAUGAGCAGAUGAGCAGCAGUAGUAAGGAACGACAACAGCAACAGGCGGAUGCAGCAGCAGCAGUCAGGAGCGGGGCGGCCGGCCGGAGCAGGCCCGGCCUGGCGCGGUUGGCUGCGGCAACCCUAACGAGCGCGAGGAGCGGCGGGCGUAUGCCGGCGGCUGCGAGACUGUGUGGGCGGGCACCGGAUAUGGGUAAGCGGGGCGAGGCAGAGCAUGGCCGCGAGCGAGGGGAGCGACGGACUCGGGCGGACGAGCGCGCGUUGCGGAGCAGCAACGGCGCAGUAGACAGGAGCAGGGGAGGAGCGGCCCCAGGCGCUGCCGGAGCAAGAUGA